CCUGAAGGAAUGCAAAUAAAAAAGAUGGAUUCACCGCAAACUCAAGGAUUUCAGAAUCUAACAUCAUUUUAUGUUUCUGACUGUAACAAUUUGAGAAAUCUGCUCGCCUUCCAUUACCAGAGGUCUUGAGAACCCAAAAAAUCUAUCUAUAAGCAAGUGCCUGAAGAUAGAAGAAAUAGUCACUACAGAGGUGGUAGAAACAGAGGAUAACGGCAUGCUCCCUCGGCUAACUUAGUGAGCUACCGUAUCUCACAAGUUUUUCUCAUGGAAAAUAUGCUUUCAAAUGGCCAUUAGUGGAAAUGAUCAUUGUCGACGAAUGUCCUGAAAUGAAGAAUUUCGGUUUAGGAUCUCUUAGGACGGCAAAGGAAGUCAAAAUAAGUAUCAGUGGCGCUGGGGAGAAUCUUUGGCAGGAGCUCAAUGACAGUAGGGAAGAAAGCUGGUCUGCAUUUUUAGAUCCAUAAAAG
Molecule: long non-coding RNA, 464 nt
Filed under: Prunus dulcis (almond)
Lineage: Eukaryota; Viridiplantae; Streptophyta; Magnoliopsida; Rosales; Rosaceae
Description: sRNA ncRNA
Source: RNAcentral